Molecule: long non-coding RNA, 1086 nt
Organism: Salvia miltiorrhiza (redroot sage)
Lineage: Eukaryota; Viridiplantae; Streptophyta; Magnoliopsida; Lamiales; Lamiaceae
Exons: 2
Source: RefSeq, a predicted model, not a curated record
AUUAAAUAAGAGUUUAACUCAAAAUAUUUUAUUUUAAAGUCCAUUUGUAAAAAUACUUGAAAUAAAAGAACUCCAUUUAAAUAAUUAAUUUAAAGGUCAAUAUAUAAUUAAAUUAAUCAAGCUCAAUUUAAAUUAAUAAUUAAGAGCUCAAAUAAUUUAAAUAGAUAUAAGCCCAAAUUAAUUAGAUAAAUUAAGUCUAUCAUGUUUUUCUUUGAAUAAGGCCCAAACAAUUAAAUUAAAGAAGCCCAAAUCCUUUAAUUAAAUAAGGGCCCAAACACUUAUUAAAAUCGGCUCAAGUCUCGGCCCAACAACAAUUAAAUAACAGCCCAAAUCAUGUCCAAGCCCACCCCUCAUACUAACCCUAAAAUAAAAACACACACAACACAUUCAGCACACACACAAAGAAGCUGCGCCUCUCUCUCCCUCGGACGUCUGCCCGGCGCCGCCGUCGCCGCCGGCGAGCGGUGCGGCCUCUCCCUCUCACCCCCUCGGUCUCCUCUUCUCUCCCUCUCGUUUCUCUGUUCUCCUUUCACCUCUAUCUCUCUCGCUCACUCUACCACCGGAAACAGGGCAAGAGAUGCCGCCGCCUCUUCUUCACCUCCACGGCGGAACGGCCGCCCCCUGUUCUCCCUCUCUCUCUAUCUCUAACUCUCAACAUCAUCUCGGUCUCUCUCUCUAACUCUCACUGACACACACGCCGACAGACACGGCGAAAGCCGCGCCGCCGCGUCGUCCUCCCCUUCGCCGGUGGACAGACGGCCAGGAGCCGUAGAGGAAUCGCCGUCGCCGGAGACAUCCCAGAACGGAACCACGGCAGGUUCACCGCCGCCGCUCCGUCGCCGGCGACGAGCCACCACGGCUGCCGCCUCCCUCUGAUCUCGACUCACACACACACAGCAGGGUCAAGCUCUUAUUCAGUUUAAAAAAAAGACAUAGAGAAAUUAGCACAAAUUCAAUUACUAAACUGUAUACUCUUUGUAUUUUCUUUAAAAGUCUGUAAUUUAAGCAAAUCAUUGUAUCCUUGCAUGUAUAUUUGUAAUAGGUUUCAAAGAAAAAGUAUACACGCAUAUAAGAAUUACUAAGCAA